RNAcentral lists this ribosomal RNA (385 nucleotides) under uncultured bacterium. RNAcentral's name for it is "bacterial SSU rRNA". It matches the Rfam family "Bacterial small subunit ribosomal RNA", at positions 367 to 708 of the family's 1533-position model. The record is from RNAcentral.
CGCAAUGGGCGAAAGCCUGACGGAGCAACGCCGCGUGAGGGACGAAGGCCUCUGGGCUGUAAACCUCUUUUCUCAAGGAAGAAGAUAUGACGGUACUUGAGGAAUAAGCCACGGCUAAUUCCGUGCCAGCAGCCGCGGUAAUACGGGAGUGGCAAGCGUUAUCCGGAAUUAUUGGGCGUAAAGCGUCCGCAGGCGGCCUUUCAAGUCUGCUGUUAAAGCGUGGAGCUUAACUCCAUUAUGGCAGUGGAAACUGAUCGGCUUGAGUAUGGUAGGGGCAGAGGGAAAUCGAAUUCCCGCGGCCGCCAUGGCGGCCGGGAGCAUGCGACGUCGGGCCCAAUUCGCCCUAUAGUGAGUCGUAUUACAAUUCACUGGCCGUCGUUUUACA